RNAcentral lists this ribosomal RNA (509 nucleotides) under Ebenavia inunguis. RNAcentral describes it as "partial 16S ribosomal RNA". It matches the Rfam family "Bacterial large subunit ribosomal RNA", at positions 1841 to 2585 of the family's 2925-position model. The record is from RNAcentral. Lineage: Eukaryota; Metazoa; Chordata; Lepidosauria; Squamata; Gekkonidae.
AAGUAUUAGAGGUCCCGCCUGCCCAGUGAAACUUUUUAACGGCCGCGGUAUCCUAACCGUGCAAAGGUAGCGUAAUCACUUGUCCCCUAAAUAGGGACUAGUAUGAACGGCCACAUGAGGGCCUAACUGUCUCCUAUGGCCAAUCAAUGAAACUGAACCCCCAGUACAAAAGCUGGGAUAUAAACAUAAGACGAGAAGACCCUGUGGAGCUUCAAACACACCACUACCCGCCUAACACCCGCCUGCGCGCCCAUAGUGUGAGUUUUAAGUUGGGGCGACUACGGAGAAAAACAAAACCUCCACGGACCAGGAACCCCCCCCCAUUUAAGGCCGACAGGCCAAGAAUAAAACACUGAUCCAGUCCAACACUGAUCAACGAACCAAGUUACCCCAGGGAUAACAGCGCUAUCCUCCUCUAGAGUCCCCAUCGCCAGGAGGGUUUACGACCCUCGAUGUUGGAUCAGGACACCCUGGUGGUGCAACAACUACCAAUGGUUCGUUUGUUCAAC